GGCCAUAGCAGGUGAUAGCCCUGUAGGCGAAAACAGUAUGAAAGAACUAGGUGUGCGACAAGUAGGGCGGGACACGUGAAAUCCUGUCUGAAGAUGGGGGGACCAUCCUCCAAGGCUAAAUACUCGUGAUCGACCGAUAGUGAACCAGUACCGUGAGGGAAAGGCGAAAAGAACCCCGGGAGGGGAGUGAAAUAGAUCCUGAAACCGCAUGCAUACAAACAGUCGGAGCCUCGUAAGGGGUGACGGCGUACCUUUUGUAUAAUGGGUCAGCGACUUACGUUCAGUAGCAAGCUUAACCGUAUAGGGCAGGCGUAGCGAAAGCGAGUCCGAAUAGGGCGUUCAGUUGCUGGGCGUAGACCCGAAACCAGGUGAUCUAUCCAUGGCCAGGAUGAAGGUGCGGUAACACGUACUGGAGGUCCGAACCCACUAACGUUGAAAAGUUAGGGGAUGAGCUGUGGAUAGGGGUGAAAGGCUAAACAAACCUGGAAAUAGCUGGUUCUCUCCGAAAACUAUUUAGGUAGUGCCUCGUGUCUCACCUUCGGGGGUAGAGCACUGUCAUGGUUGGGGGGUCUAUUGCAGAUUACCCCGCCAUAGCAAACUCCGAAUACCGAAGAGUGCAAUCACGGGAGACAGACAUCGGGUGCUAACGUCCGGUGUCAAGAGGGAAACAACCCAGACCGCCAGCUAAGGUCCCCAAAUAUAGCUAAGUGGGAAACGAAGUGGGAAGGCUAAAACAGUCAGGAGGUUGGCUUAGAAGCAGCCACCCUUUAAAGAAAGCGUAAUAGCUCACUGAUCGAGUCGUCCUGCGCGGAAGAUGUAACGGGGCUAAGCUAUAUACCGAAGCUGCGGAUGCGAGCUU
This 859-nucleotide ribosomal RNA is filed under the name Burkholderia cenocepacia. RNAcentral's name for it is "partial 23S ribosomal RNA". It matches the Rfam family "Bacterial large subunit ribosomal RNA", at positions 353 to 1215 of the family's 2925-position model. Lineage: Bacteria; Pseudomonadati; Pseudomonadota; Betaproteobacteria; Burkholderiales; Burkholderiaceae. The record is from RNAcentral.